Molecule: ribosomal RNA, 729 nt
Filed under: Melampsora epitea
Lineage: Eukaryota; Fungi; Basidiomycota; Pucciniomycetes; Pucciniales; Melampsoraceae
Description: eukaryotic LSU rRNA
Rfam family: Eukaryotic large subunit ribosomal RNA (bases 545-729)
Source: RNAcentral
UCUUGGUCAUUUAGAGGAAGUAAAAGUCGUAACAAGGUUUCCGUAGGUGAACCUGCGGAAGGAUCAUUAAUACAUGUUGAGCGCACUUUAAUGUGACUCUUUGUAUAACUAUUACCACCCCACCCAGAGGUGCAUUGUGGCCUUUGACGAGGUUAGCAGUGUAUCAGUACGUAUCCCAAAGGCAACUUUGAGUUACAUUACCCAUCAUUUACCCCCAUUUACACUUAAUAAGUUUUAAGAAUGAUACCUAUAAUUAUAUAACUUUCAGCAAUGGAUCUCUAGGCUCUCACAUCGAUGAAGAACACAGUAAAACCUGUUUGAGUGUCACGAAACCCCCCUCGGCUCUUAAUGAAAGAGACGGAUUCUGAGUGUUGGCGUGCAAAUGCCUCGCUUUAAAUAGAUCAGCACUUUUGGAUGGUUGAAUAUUAGUUCAAAAGACGUACUUGAUGUUGUAUUUAUAUGUCAUUGAGGCAGUCUUUGGUCGUUACGACUAUCCGCUAAUACGAAAACUUGAAGAAUAGCUUCCUAACUAGAUUUAACCUUUAGACUUCAAAUCAGGUGGGACUACCCGCUGAACUUAAGCAUAUCAAUAAGCGGAGGAAAAGAAAAUAACUAUGAUUCCCUUAGUAAUGGCGAGUGAACAGGGAAAAGCCCAAAUUUGUAAUCUGGCACUUUUUACAAGUGUCCGAGUUGUAAUUUGUAGAACUGUUAUCCGUGCUGGACCAUGUA